Small nuclear RNA from Cercocebus atys (sooty mangabey), 107 nucleotides. NCBI's taxonomy places the organism in Eukaryota, Metazoa, Chordata, Mammalia, Primates, Cercopithecidae. The record is from Ensembl.
GUGCUCGCUUUGGCAGCAUAUAUACUAAAACUGGAAUGAUACAGAGAAGAUUAGUAUGGCCCCUGCACAAGGAUGACGCACAAAUUUGUGAAGUGUUCCAUACAAAA